RNAcentral lists this ribosomal RNA (166 nucleotides) under Piper cihuatlanense. RNAcentral's name for it is "5.8S ribosomal RNA". It matches the Rfam family "5.8S ribosomal RNA". From Rfam's summary of the family: 5.8S ribosomal RNA (5.8S rRNA) is a component of the large subunit of the eukaryotic ribosome. It is transcribed by RNA polymerase I as part of the 45S precursor that also contains 18S and 28S rRNA. The record is from RNAcentral. Lineage: Eukaryota; Viridiplantae; Streptophyta; Magnoliopsida; Piperales; Piperaceae.
UUACGACUCUCGGCAACGGAUAUCUCGGCUCUCGCAUCGAUGAAGAACGUAGCGAAAUGCGAUACUUGGUGUGAAUUGCAGAAUCCCGCGAACCAUCGAGUCUUUGAACGCAAGUUGCGCCCGAGGCCUCUAGGUCGAGGGCACAUCUGCUUGGGCGUUAAACAAC